This 455-nucleotide ribosomal RNA is filed under the name uncultured bacterium. Its description in RNAcentral is "bacterial SSU rRNA". It matches the Rfam family "Bacterial small subunit ribosomal RNA", at positions 590 to 1042 of the family's 1533-position model. The record is from RNAcentral.
GCAGUGAAAAUCCGAGGCUCAACCGUCGGACUUGCUGUGGUACGGGCAGACUAGAGUAUGGUAGGGGGAAGACCGGGAAAUUCCUGGUGUAGCGGUGGAAUGCGCAGAUAUCAGGAGGAACACCGAUGGCGAAGGCAGGUCUCUGGGCCAUAACUGACGCUGAGAAGCGAAAGCAUGGGGAGCGAACAGGAUUAGAUACCCUGGUAGUCCAUGCCGUAAACGUUGGGCGCUAGGUGUGGGGCUCAUUCCACGAGCUCCGUGCCGCAGCUAACGCAUUAAGCGCCCCGCCUGGGGAGUACGGCCGCAAGGCUAAAACUCAAAGGAAUUGACGGGGGCCCGCACAAGCGGCGGAGCAUGCGGAUUAAUUCGAUGCAACGCGAAGAACCUUACCAAGGCUUGACAUAUACCGGAAACAUCCAGAGAUGGGUGCCCCGCAAGGUCGGUAUACAGGUGGG